GACUCAACACGGGGAAACUCACCAGGUCCAGACAUAAUAAGGAUUGACAGAUUGAGAGCACUUUCAAGAUUUUAUGGGUGGUGGUGCAUGGCCGUUCUUAGUUGGUGGAGUGAUUUGUCUGCUUAAUUGCGAUAACGAACGAGACCUUGACCUACUAAAUAGAACUUAUAGUUACGACUAUUUUAGAUCUUCUUAGAGGGACAAUCUGUGAUUAACAGAUGGAAGUUUGAGGCAAUAACAGGUCUGUGAUGCCCUUAGAUGUUCUGGGCCGCACGCGCGCUACACUGAUAAAAACAACAAGUAGAAACCUGAUUCGGAAGAAAUGGGAAAUCUUAUGGAAGUUUAUCGUGAUGGGGAUUGAGCAUUGCAAUUAUUGCUCAUGAACGAGGAAUUCCUAGUAAGCGCGAGUCAUCAGCUCGCGUUGAUUACGUCCCUGCCCUUUGUACACACCGCCCGUCGAUACUACCGAUUGAAUGGCUUAGUGAGACCUUNGGAUAUGUUUUACUUUCUUUACGGAGGGUAAAAGAUAGAAAUUGUUCAAACUUGGGUAUUUAGAGGAAGUAAAAGUCGUAACAAGGUUU
RNAcentral lists this ribosomal RNA (581 nucleotides) under uncultured fungus. Its description in RNAcentral is "bacterial SSU rRNA". It matches the Rfam family "Eukaryotic small subunit ribosomal RNA", at positions 1197 to 1802 of the family's 1831-position model. Lineage: Eukaryota; Fungi. The record is from RNAcentral.